UAUGACCUGUAAUGUUUACUUAAAUGAUCGGUGCAAACUAACAAAUAUAACUGGACAAUUAUCACCCAGUGUGUGUCUAAAUAAUAUACUGGGUGUCAAGUGUGUGUAUAUAUAUAAUAAAAUUGAUAAAAUAAAAAAAUUUUAAAGAAAGAAAUAUAUAUAAAGAAAGAAUUGAAAUUUUUCCAGUCAACACAUAUUUAGUUGCGGAUGUUAAGCGAGGUUGUGGUCAUUGCGCCAUUGAUAUUUGCAAAUGACACUGACGUUUGCCGUUCAUCCAGUUGAAAAAACACCUGCGUAAAGCAAAUAAUUUAUGCCUGUUAAACACGAAUACCCAUAUAAAUAUUCUUUUAUUCUUUUAUAUAUAAAUCGACUAGAGUCCACUGCCCCGCCUACAGGUCGAUUAACUUUAGCUAUCUCGUCGUCCAGUGGUUUCUAAUGAACGAAAACAGAGUUUAAAAUUACGCGAGUUCACGACGGGUGUUUGCCCGAUAAAGGUGAAAAGAGAAAGAAAAAUGUAAAUAAAUUAACAAAUACAAAAAAAAAAUAUGUAUAUAUCGUAUAUAUAUAUG
Long non-coding RNA from Aphidius gifuensis, 569 nucleotides. RefSeq lists it as uncharacterized. The transcript has 2 exons. The record is from RefSeq and is a predicted model, not a curated record. NCBI's taxonomy places the organism in Eukaryota, Metazoa, Arthropoda, Insecta, Hymenoptera, Braconidae.